GCACCUACUUGGCAGGGGAGAUACCAUGAUCAACAAAGUGGUUUUCCCAUGGUGAGGCCUGUCCCUUGCACUCUGGGCAGGCUGGGAAAAAUCAGCUGCACAAUUUUGUGGUAAGGGAAGACUGCGUUUGUGCUUUCCGCUG
Non-coding RNA from Alligator sinensis (Chinese alligator), 142 nucleotides. NCBI's taxonomy places the organism in Eukaryota, Metazoa, Chordata, Crocodylia, Alligatoridae. The record is from Rfam.